Molecule: non-coding RNA, 119 nt
Organism: Solanum tuberosum (potato)
Lineage: Eukaryota; Viridiplantae; Streptophyta; Magnoliopsida; Solanales; Solanaceae
Source: Rfam
GAGAGCGCAGUACAACGGAGAGUUGUAUGCAGCGUUCGGGAAGGAUGAAUCGCUCCCAAAAAGGAAUCUAUUGAUUCUCUCCUAAUUGGUUGGACCGUAGGUGCGAUGAUUUACUUCAC